RNAcentral lists this long non-coding RNA (1035 nucleotides) under Spirodela polyrhiza (greater duckweed). Its description in RNAcentral is "long non-coding RNA (SPOL_LNC001450)". Lineage: Eukaryota; Viridiplantae; Streptophyta; Magnoliopsida; Alismatales; Araceae. The record is from RNAcentral.
GGGCGGACGCAUAUGGGUCCUCUGCAAAAGAAUUCCCCAAGCAUCUGAAAAUGAGUAUGACCCAUGAGAUGGACUGUAACGGUGAAGCUCCGGAGUUGGCCGUCGAGAUAAGUGAAAAUCUCUUGUAAUAGGUGGCUUUCAAAUUUACCACAGGACGUGCGCAGAAAUCUCUUGUAAUUGGUGGCUUUCAAAUCUCUUGUAAAAGGUGGCUGAACAGAACCGUCGACGAGAUUUUCACUAUCAAUCUUACUCUCCGCGCCCCUCCAAGCCAAUAAAUAAGCCGUCCGCCCGACACCCGGCUACAGUUUCCUAGCAUCGAGAGCGUACGCUUAACGUAAAUCUCCGAUCUUGUUAACCUUUAUCCAUAACAUUUGACCGCUUAAUGGAUCACAUUGAAACUAAGUUCGUUUACAUCAUGUGACUACCAAAGAAGGGCAUCACAUGGAGUCAUCUUUUUUUACUAUUCCAAUGCCCCCCUUGUAGUUUCAUGCCGUCUUUUUUUUUGGGGGGGGGGGGUUGGGGGGGAUAUGUGUUCUCCACUGUUGUGCAGGAGGUGAGUGAAAGUACCCACAGCGAAAGUAUAACCGCCAAUCGCCUUCUACCUCAAGUGUAAACGUGCCAAAAAAAUCGAUAGAGAAAUACAUGCAAAUAUGGCAAGACAGAAAAAUCAGCAUAAGAGCAGGGAAUAAGAUGUACGUACCGGAGUCGACGUGAUUCAGAGAAAUUUUCUGCAUCAGCAUGGAGAGCUAAAGAGAUGUUACGAAAAGCACGAGAAGAACCGAAACCAAAGCCCUAUUCCUACUGGAUGGUUGGAUAUUUUUCCGUAACACCAUGUCGAAAUUGUUCUAUCGUUGAUCAGAGAUUUCUAUAUGAAAAAUACGAAUCGGAGUUUGAAGAAGGGGAGCUCCGUCUCAAGGUCAUUAUCAAUAUCUAAAUGCGCACAAAUAAGAUGUGAUCUUAGACACCGCUUGCCCAUCAAUGGGCCGAAUGUGGGACAGAGAGAGAGAGAGAGAGAGAGAGAGAGAGAGAGAGAGA